GGGAAUAUAGCUUAGUGGUAGAGUAUUUGCCUAACACGCAUGAAGCCCUGGGUUUGACUCCUCAGUACCA
RNAcentral lists this transfer RNA (70 nucleotides) under Dipodomys ordii (Ord's kangaroo rat). It matches the Rfam family "tRNA". Rfam says of the family: Transfer RNA (tRNA) molecules are approximately 80 nucleotides in length. The record is from Rfam by way of RNAcentral. Lineage: Eukaryota; Metazoa; Chordata; Mammalia; Rodentia; Heteromyidae.